This 468-nucleotide ribosomal RNA is filed under the name uncultured bacterium. RNAcentral's name for it is "partial 16S ribosomal RNA". It matches the Rfam family "Bacterial small subunit ribosomal RNA", at positions 28 to 507 of the family's 1533-position model. The record is from RNAcentral.
GACGAACGCUGGCGGCGUGCUUAACACAUGCCAGUCGAACGGAAAGGCCCUGCUUUUGUGGGGUGCUCGAGUGGCGAACGGGUGAGUAACACGUGAGUAACCUGCCCUUGACUUUGGGAUAACUUCAGGAAACUGGGGCUAAUACCGGAUAGGAGCUCCUGCUGCAUGGUGGGGGUUGGAAAGUUUCGGCGGGUGGGGAUGGACUCGCGGCUUAUCAGCUUGUUGGUGGGGUAGUGGCUUACCAAGGCUUUGACGGGUAGCCGGCCUGAGAGGGUGACCGGCCACAUUGGGACUGAGAUACGGAGCAGACUCCUACGGGAGGCAGCAGUGGGGAAUAUUGCACAAUGGGCGGAAGCCUGAUGCAGCAACGCCGCGUGCGGGAUGACGGCCUUCGGGUUGUAAACCGCUUUCGCCUGUGACGAAGCGUGAGUGACGGUAAUGGGUAAAGAAGCACCGGCUAACUACGUG